AUAUAUAACAUAUUGAUGGGCGUCAAAACCACCAAAUAUAAAUUCCUACGACAAAUAUAACAAUAAAUUGAAAUAUAGAGUAGUAGGGUCGAAUCCACAAAGACUGGUUAUCUAAUUCACCUUUUCUAGUGACCAGGUUCGCUGUUGCUGCCACAGUAGUGCCCACGACUUGUGCGUAAUAAUGCUAAAAAAAAUAAAAAAA
This 202-nucleotide long non-coding RNA is filed under the name Gossypium raimondii (Peruvian cotton). Its description in RNAcentral is "long non-coding RNA (GRAI_LNC003203)". The record is from RNAcentral. Lineage: Eukaryota; Viridiplantae; Streptophyta; Magnoliopsida; Malvales; Malvaceae.